This 257-nucleotide long non-coding RNA is filed under the name Elaeis guineensis (African oil palm). RNAcentral describes it as "long non-coding RNA (EGUI_LNC069865)". Lineage: Eukaryota; Viridiplantae; Streptophyta; Magnoliopsida; Arecales; Arecaceae. The record is from RNAcentral.
AGCCAUGAGAAACCAAAGAAACUGGUCCACCAUGGACCGCACUAGUGUGUGGACCACAUGAAGGCUGACAGGCCGUAUGCACCUGCUAAGCCUAGCCCACGAUCGACCCGCACGCACCCGUGUGCUAGACUGCAUGCCUAUGCCUAGCCCGCAUGCUGGCCUGGGUUGGGUCGCAUCUGGCUACUAGGCCUGGGCCACCAACUGCUAUCUUCUGGCCUGUGCAUUGCGGGCUCCACUGCUCCACAUGCUGUAGGUCC